UGAGCAGCAUGUGCUCAUAUAGUCCUCCGGCGGUCUAUAUUAGGUGCAGUCUGGUGAGGGGGCUAUCGCGAUAUUGUGCAGGAAAGUAUACGGCUGAGAGGAACGUUCAGCCGUGGAGUAACCAUUCCACUGCGGUCUGCGCGUUCUCCAAGGUAUUCAGCGCUGGUCUAUUUUCGGCGAAAGGACUAGAAAGGUGCCCACAAACAGCCUAAAAGUCUCACUGAUGGUGCGUCUUGUAAUCGUGGAAGACAAGCUACAAACACACUUCACGUACUGCUGCUGCAGCGAAGAUACGAAACAAGCACGACUACGUGAAUAAUGAUGUCGAAUUAACGAAACGUCGAAUUAACGAAAUCUUGUCUCCAGAGAACCUUCAACUUCCUACGCAUUCGACCGGGAUCGAAGGAUAGCCUAUCCCACGAUCACCUCGAAUGUUUGCACCGACGAAACCUGUGGGACUGUGGACCAAAUGGCCUCAACCGAACGAGGGUCCAGAGCCAGUGGAGCAGAUGAACGCAAUAAUGGAUGUUUACAUCCAUUAUUGCGUUCAUCCAUGACCGUUCUCGGGCCAUGGUCGGACCCCGCACAUCAGAUGCAAGCCCUACGAGUUGUUGCUGAGUUCCUCUCUAGCACUGGACUAAUGGACGAAUUCUAAUAGGACACUUUUCCAUCAUCAUCCCUUUCUCAUCCCUUCCGCAAGAGCAAUGGGGCAAGUGUACCGCCAUAACGGCGGUGAAUGACCCACCACAUCAUCAUCCCGCUUAUGUGUGUUUGUGCGCGCGCACGUUCAUACUGUCAGAUUAUUUCCAGUGUUCGCCCCAGUUUUAGCGCUCAUUUUGCUAAUUGUUGCAUUGCUUACACGCAGUGAUGGGCAGUAUACUUGAAGUACUCGAUACUUAAGUAGUACUUAAAGUACUAGGGGGUACUUUUACUUUACUUCAAGUAGUCCCUCGGAACAAUACUUUCUACUUUACUUGAAGUACGUAUUGCUGUACUUUCUGUUGAAGUACCUCAAGUAUCCUUCUGUGAGCCCUGCUAGCUCGCUGCACGACAGCCGGCGCCGCAUCCGGCCUGCCCACGGUGUUCAACUUCAUUGUGUUGUUGUUGUUGUUGUUGUUUUUAAGUGUUGAGAGAGGUCAGCCAAUACUUGGCUCGCUACUCUUCAAAAAAAGGAGAAAAAGUUUACCCGGACCAAAAAAAGAAAAAAUCAAACACACUAACACACUCACACUGUGGUGUUCACAGCACUGCGCUUCGGCCUAUUUAACCAGUUCGCAAUCCUAUCGGAGUCGAUAAAUUGGCCUGUCUCAAGACGCUCUUUCGCAUUGUUUGCGUCCGUGUGUGGCAUUUGAACGUAUGUAUGUGAAUAUUAGUCCCCACGAAGAGCUGAAAGCUCGAGUCCAAUAAACGAACGCAAC
Molecule: long non-coding RNA, 1418 nt
Organism: Ornithodoros turicata
Lineage: Eukaryota; Metazoa; Arthropoda; Arachnida; Ixodida; Argasidae
Exons: 3
Source: RefSeq, a predicted model, not a curated record